Molecule: ribosomal RNA, 432 nt
Filed under: uncultured bacterium
Lineage: Bacteria
Description: partial 16S ribosomal RNA
Rfam family: Bacterial small subunit ribosomal RNA
Source: RNAcentral
AGCGAACGCUGGCGGCAGGCCUAACACAUGCAAGUCGAACGAACUCUUCGGAGUUAGUGGCGGACGGGUGAGUAACACGUGGGAACGUGCCUUUAGGUUCGGAAUAACUCAGGGAAACUUGAGCUAAUACCGGAUGUGCCCUUCGGGGGAAAGAUUUAUCGCCUUUAGAGCGGCCCGCGUCUGAUUAGCUAGUUGGUGAGGUAAAGGCUCACCAAGGCGACGAUCAGUAGCUGGUCUGAGAGGAUGAUCAGCCACAUUGGGACUGAGACACGGCCCAAACCCUUCCGGAGGGCGGAGGUGGGAAUCCUGCGCCAUGGGCGAAAGGCCUACGGCGCCCAGGCGGGGGAAUUAUGGAGGUUCUAGGAUUGUAAAAUUCUUUCACCGGGGACGAUAAUGACGGUACCCGGAGAAGAAGCCCCGGCUAACUUCGUG